Molecule: transfer RNA, 74 nt
Filed under: Rhipicephalus sanguineus (brown dog tick)
Lineage: Eukaryota; Metazoa; Arthropoda; Arachnida; Ixodida; Ixodidae
Description: transfer RNA isoleucine (anticodon AAU)
Rfam family: tRNA
About the family: Transfer RNA (tRNA) molecules are approximately 80 nucleotides in length. Their secondary structure includes four short double-helical elements and three loops (D, anti-codon, and T loops). Further hydrogen bonds mediate the characteristic L-shaped molecular structure. tRNAs have two regions of fundamental functional importance: the anti-codon, which is responsible for specific mRNA codon recognition, and the 3' end, to which the tRNAs corresponding amino acid is attached (by aminoacyl-tRNA synthetases). tRNAs cope with the degeneracy of the genetic code in two manners: having more than one tRNA (with a specific anti-codon) for a particular amino acid; and 'wobble' base-pairing, i.e. permitting non-standard base-pairing at the 3rd anti-codon position.
Source: Rfam by way of RNAcentral
GGCCUGCUAGUUCAGUCGGUUAGAGCGUCGUGCUAAUAACGCGAAGGUCGUAGGUUCGAUCCCUGCGCAGGCCA